RNAcentral lists this small RNA (538 nucleotides) under Pongo abelii (Sumatran orangutan). RNAcentral's name for it is "retained intron". The record is from RNAcentral. Lineage: Eukaryota; Metazoa; Chordata; Mammalia; Primates; Hominidae.
GCCGUGUCUCGCAGUCGUGGGCUCCUGCAGCUGGGGCGCCCGCAGCCGCUCGUCACCCGCGGGAUGCUGUUUCUGGCGUUGGGCCGCCCGUGGGCGGUCGAACCUUCCCUCUGCGGAAGGAGGACUGCAUUGUGUGCGGCCGCCGCGCUCCGAGGUCCCCGGGCCUCUGUCUCCCGAGCGUCCUCCUGCAGCGGGCCUUCGGGGCCGGUAGCCGGCUGGAGUACGGGGCCCUGGGGAGCCGCGCGCCUUCUCCGGCGUCCGGGUCGAGCGCAGAUCCCUGUUUAUUGGGAAGGAUAUGUUCGAUGCUUACAUACGCCAUCUGGCAAAUCAGAAGAUGGAAGGCUAAUUUAUACUGGCAAUAUGGCCCGAGCAGUGUUUGGUAAGUAAUUGGAGGUGGGGGUACUUACUUUGUUUUUUUCUCUUUUAAUUGUAAAAAUAUCCUUACCAUAUCUUACUUGUUGUUAUGGCAUCCCUUAAUUACAAGACAUGAGGAAAAUUAGAUUUUCAUUUUUUUUCUUGAGGUGUGUUGAUAAGAUGU